CCUACGGGAGGCAGCAGUGGGGAAUUUUGGACAAUGGGCGCAAGCCUGAUCCAGCCAUGCCGCGUGCGGGAAGAAGGCCUUCGGGUUGUAAACCGCUUUUGUCAGGGAAGAAAUCCUUUGGGUUAAUACCUCGGAGGGAUGACGGUACCUGAAGAAUAAGCACCGGCUAACUACGUGCCAGCAGCCGCGGUAAUACGUAGGGUGCGAGCGUUAAUCGGAAUUACUGGGCGUAAAGCGUGCGCAGGCGGUUAUGCAAGACAGAUGUGAAAUCCCCGGGCUCAACCUGGGAACUGCAUUUGUGACUGCAUAGCUAGAGUACGGUAGAGGGGGAUGGAAUUCCGCGUGUAGCAGUGAAAUGCGUAGAUAUGCGGAGGAACACCGAUGGCGAAGGCAAUCCCCUGGACCUGUACUGACGCUCAUGCACGAAAGCGUGGGGAGCAAACAGGAUUAGAUACCCUGGUAGUCCACGCCCUAAACGAUGUCAACUGGUUGUUGGACGGCUUGCUGUUCAGUAACGAAGCUAACGCGUGAAGUUGACCGCCUGGGGAGUACGGCCGCAAGGUUGAAACUCAAAUGAAUUGACGGCUGAGAGNGCGAGCGACACGAGGGAGGAGG
RNAcentral lists this ribosomal RNA (615 nucleotides) under uncultured bacterium. RNAcentral's name for it is "bacterial SSU rRNA". It matches the Rfam family "Bacterial small subunit ribosomal RNA", at positions 338 to 944 of the family's 1533-position model. The record is from RNAcentral.